UACGUAGGGGGCAAGCGUUGUCCGGAUUUAUUGGGCGUAAAGAGCGUGUAGGCGGCCAAGCAGGUCAGCUGUGAAAACUCGAGGCUCAACCUCGAGACGUCGGUUGAAACCGCUUGGCUAGAGUCCGGAAGAGGAGAGUGGAAUUCCCGGUGUAGCGGUGAAAUGCGCAGAUAUCGGGAAGAACACCCGUGGCGAAGGCGGCUCUCUGGGACGGUACUGACGCUGAGACGCGAAAGCGUGGGGAGCGAACAGGAUUAGAUACCCUGGUAGUCCACGCCGUAAACGAUGGGCACUAGGUGUGGCGGGUAUCGACUCCCGCUGUGCCGAAGCUAACGCAUUAAGUGCCCCGCCUGGGGAGUACGGCCGCAAGGCUAAA
Molecule: ribosomal RNA, 376 nt
Filed under: uncultured bacterium
Lineage: Bacteria
Description: bacterial SSU rRNA
Rfam family: Bacterial small subunit ribosomal RNA
Source: RNAcentral